RNAcentral lists this ribosomal RNA (478 nucleotides) under uncultured bacterium. Its description in RNAcentral is "partial 16S ribosomal RNA". It matches the Rfam family "Bacterial small subunit ribosomal RNA", at positions 28 to 507 of the family's 1533-position model. The record is from RNAcentral.
GAUGAACGCUGGCGGCGUGCUUAACACAUGCAAGUCGAACGAGAAAUGGAGACGGACACCUUCGGGCGGAAGGCUUCAUUUCGAGUGGCGGACGGGUGAGUAACGCGUGGGUAACCUGCCUCAUACAGGGGGAUAACAGUUGGAAACGACUGUUAAUACCGCAUAAGACCACAGCACCGCAUGGUGCGGGGGUAAAAACUCCGGUGGUAUGAGAUGGACCCGCGUUCGAUUAGCCAGUUGGCGGGGUAACGGCCCACCAAAGCGACGAUCGAUAGCCGAUCUGAGAGGAUGACCGGCCACAUUGGGACUGAGACACGGCCCAAACUCCUACGGGAGGCAGCAGUGGGGAAUAUUGCACAAUGGGGGAAAACCUGAUGCAGCGACGCCGCGUGAGUGAAGAAGUACUUCGGUAUGUAAAGCUCUAUCAGCAGGGAAGAAAAUGACGGUACCUGAGUAAGAAGCCCCGGCUAACUACGUG